UGCUGUUCCUAGUUUCGGGUGUGUGAGUGUAUUUAUACAGAUUGUUCAAUGUUCAUUUUUGUCACAACAUUUUGCUACUACAAAGUUUCUACAGUAACUAUAAGACAGUGCAAGAGGAGAAGAUGAAGCUGAAUUACUUUCUCGGCAGUCUUUUGGUCAUGCUGUGUAUCUUUGGUGUAUUUUCAACACCACUUGGACAGCCAGUACAAUGCCAAAUCAGAGCUGUAAGAUUCCUUUUAAUCAACGGCAGGACCAUAUGCUCUGAUCCAGAGUAUCCUUGGGCCAAGCGUGCCAUAAGGAUUCUGGAUAGUAGAACAAAUAUAAACCCCUCAAAUUCUCCAAGAUAAAUCAGCUCUUGACUGGACUGAACAUUUUUGUCAGCAGUCAGAUACACAAGAAACAUGGUACUGUUGCAAUGCAUAGCUUAGAUAUAUUUGUUAUUUUCCAUGGUUGUGUAUCUUUACUGAAAACUAUGUACAUUAUAAUUAAAAGUAUUAUACAUUAAAUGCACAAUAUGCUCUGA
This is a long non-coding RNA of Tachysurus fulvidraco (yellow catfish), 523 nucleotides long. RefSeq lists it as uncharacterized. The record is from RefSeq and is a predicted model, not a curated record. The transcript has 3 exons. Lineage: Eukaryota; Metazoa; Chordata; Actinopteri; Siluriformes; Bagridae.